Molecule: non-coding RNA, 45 nt
Organism: Schistosoma rodhaini
Lineage: Eukaryota; Metazoa; Platyhelminthes; Trematoda; Strigeidida; Schistosomatidae
Source: Rfam
AUCCAGUUAAUGAGUUCCAAAUAGGACGAAACGUGCGUCCUGGAU